GACGAACGCUGGCGGCGUGCUUAACACAUGCAAGUCGAACGGAAAGGCCCUGCUUUUGUGGGGUGCUCGAGUGGCGAACGGGUGAGUAACACGUGAGUAACCUGCCCUUGACUUUGGGAUAACUUCAGGAAACUGGGGCUAAUACCGGAUAGGAGCUCCUGCUGCAUGGUGGGGGUUGGAAAGUUUCGGCGGUUGGGGAUGGACUCGCGGCUUAUCAGCUUGUUGGUGGGGUAGUGGCGUACCAAGGCUUUGACGGGUAGCCGGCCUGAGAGGGUGACCGGCCACAAUGGGACGGAGAAACGGCCAAGACUCCUACGUGAAGGAGCAGUGGAGAGUAUUGAGCAGUGGGGAGAAGCCUGAUGCGUCAACGCCGCGUGCGGAAUAACGGCCUUCGAGUUGUAAACCACUUUCGCCGGAGACAGAGCGUGAGUGACGGUAAUGUGUAAAGAAGCAACGGCUAACUACGUG
Molecule: ribosomal RNA, 468 nt
Filed under: uncultured bacterium
Lineage: Bacteria
Description: partial 16S ribosomal RNA
Rfam family: Bacterial small subunit ribosomal RNA
Source: RNAcentral